GUGCCAGCAGCCGCGGUAAUACAGAGGUUGCGAGCGUUGUUCGGAAUUAUUGGGCGUAAAGCGCUUGUAGGCGGCCUGUUAUGUCCCGUGUGAAAUCCCUCGGCUCAACCGAGGAAGUGCGCGGGAAACUGGCGGGCUUGAAUGCCGGAGAGGAUGACGGAAUACCCGGUGUAGAGGUGAAAUUCGUAGAUAUCGGGUGGAACACCGGUGGCGAAGGCGGUCAUCUGGACGGACAUUGACGCUGAGAAGCGAAAGCGUGGGGAGCAAACAGGAUUAGAAACCCUCGUAGUCC
Molecule: ribosomal RNA, 292 nt
Filed under: uncultured bacterium
Lineage: Bacteria
Description: partial 16S ribosomal RNA
Rfam family: Bacterial small subunit ribosomal RNA
Source: RNAcentral